Long non-coding RNA from Podarcis raffonei (Aeolian wall lizard), 5671 nucleotides. RefSeq lists it as uncharacterized. NCBI's taxonomy places the organism in Eukaryota, Metazoa, Chordata, Lepidosauria, Squamata, Lacertidae. The transcript has 7 exons. The record is from RefSeq and is a predicted model, not a curated record.
UGAUCGGCAAGUCCUAGGCUCUGUGGUUUAACCCACAGCGCCACCCGUUGUCGUUGUUGUUUAGUCAUUUAGUCGCCACCCGCAUCCCUAUAAAUCAUAUAUAGGCAGCAUAUAACUCAGGAAUAAAAUACUUAGAAUUCCAAAGCCCCCAGCCCAGAUGGCAUUACACCAGAAAUGCUAAAAUCACAGGUGGAUUUGGUGUGCACCUUUCUUAGCCUCUCUCUUUGCCCACAUAGACGAGACUGGCUGCAUCCCAAGGGAGUGGGGAACAGCCAUAAUAGUUCCAUUCUAUAAAAAGGGCAAUAGAGGGGACGCAUCGAACUAUAGGCCGAUUAGCUUACUAAGUGUGAUUAGUAAACUUUACACAAAGCACCUACUUAAAAAGUUUACUGAAUUGUUAGAAAAUGAAGACAUUCUGGCAAUAGAACAAGCGGGCUUUAGACCCGGAAGGUCCAUGAUAGAUCACUGCCUAACACUAUUGACACCUCAUAGAAAAAUAUAAAUCAGGAGGGCAGGCCUACGCCGCUUUCGGAGAUCUAAAAGCAGCCUUCGACACAGUCCCCAGAACUAGACUCUGGGAUAGACUUCAGGGUACCACCGUAGACAGAAGGCUCCUGUUCUUAAUCCAGGCAGUUCGUGCAAAUACGGCUCUUAGAGUCAGGUGUAGCCUCCUAGGACACCUAACAGACCCCAUUAAAACUUUUAAGGGAGUCAGGCAAGGGUGCCUAUUGGCCCCCCCUUCUAUGUAAUUUCUAUUUUAAUAAUAUUUUAAUACAAGCUGGUCUUUGACCGUAAUAAAUUAUUAUUAUUAUUAUUAUUAUUAUUAUUAUUAUUAUUAUUUAGAACACAUUUACUCAUUUUACAGAUAGAAAUCCUACAAUAUUUAAUGUAAUUAUUAAUAAUGCUUAAUAGCAGAAAGUUUAGCAAACUACAAUGUGUGAAGUGUCCAGGACUUUUUUCCAGCCAAAACUCAGGUCCAGCACCAUUCAGAUGGGUGCCAUUGCCAUUAUAAGAGAACAAGUGAGGCGUUCCUGGUGGAUUCUGGCACCUCUUUUUUUAAAACAAAACAAAACAAAAAAAGCACCAGAAAUGCCAGUGUGCAAGACCAAACCUUGUGUCCCUGGUGGGCCUGCCUCAUAUCCAAAGAGCCCUUUAAAGCUCUUUGAAACAUUAUUUAAACAAGAAACAUCUCCUGUGCACAUGUAAAUGGCAUCUGCUGCAUUUUGCAGGAAAGACAUUUUAAAAGACCCAUAAAAGAGAAAGAGACCUUUUAUUGGGAAAUCAGACUGCAUGAAGGAAACAAUUCUCCAGAACUGGAUAACCCAGACAGCAGUUAACAACCAUUUCCCAGCUCCAGGGAAAGUCACAAAUUAAUCUGUGCAGUGCAUGAGUCACGUGACUGACACAUUGCUGAGAGUUUUGUGGCUUAAUCCUGGGACCCCCUAAAGGAGGAUGGGAUUGCAGUGAUAAUUUAUUAAAUGGACAUGAAUGAAGAGAAACUCUUAACAGAAGUUGGAAUGGUGAAAUUGCACUAUUAAUGCUUGCCUUCAGUGUUCAGAUUUUCUUGGUAAUAGAGCUAUUGAGUGCAAUCCAGCUAAAUUUAGGCAUGUCUAAGUCCUUUUGAUAGGGACGCGGGUGGCGCUGUGGGUAAAACCUCAGCGCCUAGGACUUGCCGAUCGCAUGGUUGGCGGUUCGAAUCCCCGCGGCGGGGUGCGCUCCCGUUGCUCGGUCCCAGUGCCUGCCAACCUAGCAGUUCGAAAGCACCCUCGGGUGCAAGUAGAUAAAUAGGGACUGCUUACUAGCGGGAAGGUAAACGGCGUUUCCAUGUGUGCGGCUCUGGCUCGCCAGAGCAGCUUCGUCACGCUGGCCACGUGACCCGGAAGUGUCUGCGGACAGCACUGGCUCCCGGCCUCUAGAGUGAGAUGAGCGCACAACCCUAGAGUCUGGCAAGACUGGCCCGUACAGGCAGGGGUACCUUUACCUUUAAGUCCUUUUGAUUUCAGCUGGAGAAAAAAGUAUGUGCUUUAGACUACAAUCCUAGGCAAACUUAUUUUAGAACUAUUAUUAUUAUUAUUAUUAUUAUUAUUAUUAUUAUUAUUUUCAGUUUAUACACCGCCCUAUACCCAAAGGUCUCAACUAGACCAGUUGCUCAUAGCAGAGUCUCAUUAGACAUGAAAUUAUGCAUACAACUUGCAGAUAGUGAGGAUGAAAAAAGCCAGAGUUUAGUGUGGAGGGGGAAGCAGCAGUGUAACCUAGAAGCAAAGCAACAAGCAGAGAGAGAGAGAGAGAGAGAGAGAGAGAGAGAGAGAGAGAGGGAGAGAGAGACUAGACCUCUGCUGGAAUCCCAAACUGUUGAUAUGGGAGUAGCAAGACCCUUUUGGGAUGUUAAUGCUGUGAACCCCUCCAUAUAUAUGCAAAUAAACCAUAUAUCGUAAAGACGCCACAGUCUCUGCUGUGCCUUAUUCACAAAAGUAAACAUGAACCCUGGGUAAGCACCUGGAACCCCUGCGGUGGCUUGCAGCAGUAUUUAAAUUAAUGGCUUUAAUAAAAGUUAUAUAUUAUUUUUUACUGUGGUAUUUAUUCUCUAUUUUCAUCAUGGCCUCCAGAUUCACCAAAAAGCACGCCGCAGCCUACCACUUUCAGUUUUAGAAAUCCUGCCCCAGACUUAGUGUGUAUUUAUAAAUGGAUUUCAUUUUGUGAUAGAAAUCGAAGAAUAGCUUGCCCCUUCAGCACCAGGGCAAGGAACUGCAGCAGAAAAAUUCAAAGGGUCUUUCAUCACUGUGCAAAUUUCUCUCCAUGCUCACAUAUAGGUUUGUUGGAUGCAGCCUGAGAAGGACAACCGCAGCCCAUGAAUUUUCAUUCCAAAGUUUUUCAACCAUCCUUACUUGAGAAUGCAGAAUAAGCAAACCAGCAUACUGGUGUAACCCAGUAAUCUUUAAACAAGCAGCUAGUUUUAUUGAGAGGAAAACACACAGUAACUAACUUCAGUCCCCUUGAUUUCUACAGGUGUACUAAGUCUGGAUUCACCCCUAAACACGCUGAUUCUAUCUGUAAAAUAGCUAUGAAGAACAAAGUCAUCAGCACAUUUUUGCAAAUGGAUGCCCAGAAGCUUUCUGAACAGAAGCCCCUAGUUUAUUUGUUUUAAGUUAUUAGGUUACCAAAGGGCCAAAGCAAUUUGCCAUGAAAUUAGGAUAAAUCAUAAGGUUGACUCAGCAACUUGCUUUUAGAUAGUGGCAAUGGUGCCAUUCUCAAAAUGCUUAUUCUAGCGUUACAGUAGUCUUACUAUCAUUGUAGAGGAAAUGGUAAGAAGACCAUGACCACAAGGUCUUUGGUAAAGAGUAUUCAGAUAAUAAUGUCUAUAAAAAGCAUCUGUAUUCCAGAUGUUUCAGCUUUUUACUCUUGUAUUAAUUGUAGGUAGUUAUUUCCCACCCCACCCCAAGAUAUGAGAUGGGGGACUUGGGAGUGAAAUUACAAAGGCUCAGGUUUGAGAAUUAAGUUAACUCUACAAAACGUCCCUCGAUUGAAAUGUUUCCAGGAUAAAGAUGGACGUAGCUGAUAAUGUGACAAAUAUGGUCAUGAAUGGAAUAUCAAUUUUGAAAAGACAAAGACAAAAUAUCAUUGCAGAGACAGAAGCUUGGAUCAAUUCUUUCCUUCUCCAAAUAGGACCACCUGUUGUUCUGACAUCACUGUUGGAUGAAGCAGCCAUUUCUUGUCCAGCUAAAAGUAAACACAUUUGUUACCAUCUGCCAAAAAGCAGAGAUGAAGACAGACAUAUUACCUAGAGAUCACAGUACAGCUGUCUUGCAAAAAAUAACUUUCUCCAUGAGGUUUGGAAGGGACAUGUUUCAGUCUGUUAUACUGGUUCUGCGAGGACAUGGAGAAUUGCGAAGGGGAUUCUGAAAGAAAUCAAAGCGCUCUUUCCAAGGGUGAAAGAAGAUUCUGAGAGGCAAAGGGAUCAGCUUGGGAACGUGGAGAACAAGGUACUAACUGAGACACAAAAUUCUUGAAUAAACAUUGUUCUGGAGUAGCCAAAAACCCGCUGCUGGAAGAUGAUCAUCUAAUCCAUGAAAGAAAGGAAGACAUGACAAAAGUCUGGAAUGCAUCCUGCCUUUGGUGCUGAGACCAGCUUGGUCACCCUGUAUGACGACUGUGUCGGGACAGAGAGAGGAAAAUGCGUCCCUGUUGAUACACCUCGACCUCUGCAGCUUCCAGUACUAUUCAGCAUGGUAUUCUUUGGGAGUUACUGUCGGAGUUUAGAGCAGCAGGGACUGCUUUGAAGGGUUUGUGUUCCUAUUCGGAUGGCCGGCUCCAAAAAAUGAAGGUAUUGUUUGACCCCAUGGAGCCUCUGGUGCGAGGUUCUUCAGGGUUUGGUAUCACACCGCCACCGUAACAUCUACAUCAGGCAUAGGCAAACUCGGCCCUCCAGCUGUUUUGGGACUACAACUCCCAUGAUCCCUAGCUAACAGGACCAGUGGUCAGGGAUGAUGGGAACUGUAGUCCCAAAACAGCUGGAGGGCCGAGUUUGCCUAUGCCUGAUCUACAUGAAACCUCUGAGUGGGGUCAGCCAUAGUUUUGGAGUGUGUUGUCAUCAAUAUGCUGGUGACAUGCACCUGACUUCUCCUUUACAUUGAAGGCAGGUGAGGGAAAGAGAUGUGCUGAGCUGGUGCCUGGGCUUGGUAAUGGACUAGCAAAAGUUGGCAGCCCAAACGGAUGAGAAAGUUGCAAGUGCAGCUUUCUCAAAACUUAAUCAAAUUCAAUAAACGAAAAGCCUUUCCAUUUAACAGGUGUUAAGACCUUCCCAUGUUUACUCAAGCUCCCAAAUGUUGGGAAAUGACUGUUUUUAACAGACACAUUUAGGCAAUAUCAAUAUAGCCCGGAGUGAUAUCCUACCCUGUGGAUGCCAGUUGCAGAUAAGCUACUGAAAAUAUAUUUAUUUAUUUAUUUAUUUUAAAUCAAUUCACGUUACAUGUUAAUUGUCAUACACAUUCAACAUUGUACAUAACAUAUAUUAUUUCUACAAAUUCCCCACACCUAACCCUAUAACCACCUUCCCUUUUACCCAAAUACCCAUGUGACUUCCUUCACCCACAUGCGUGAUAUCCAACUUGUUACUUAAAAAAACCCAACUCUAAUAUUGUCUUCAUUUUUGUUCAUUAGAAUGAUCAUCUAUUUAAAACAUAGCUUCUUAACUUAAUGGGUUCAAUCUAUACUUACUGUAUCCAGAGAUUUCUAAUAGAAUGAUUUUGUACAAUAUGUUCUUCAACACAUUUCCAUUCCUUUCUUAAUUUUUGUUUUGAUUGCAUUCUGAUUGACGCUGUCAUCUUGGCUAGUUCAAUAUAUUGGCAAAAUUUAGUUUGCCACUCUAACACUGAGGGAAUCUCCUCACUCUUCCAAUAUUCUGGCAGCCACUGUAAGCUACUGAAAAUAUUUUUAAUAAUACCAAAGUAUCACAAUGCUUCUAUCAAGCAAUUUAGGGAUGAAGGAACAUGGACAAAAUGAAGCUGACAGAACCAACAUCUGACUAAAGUAGAAUUCAGGUCUAACACUCCGGAUAAAAAAACCUCUGACUAUUGUCCUCAAAAUUCAGUCAAGCUGGUCAUCAUCUACACUGCUUUCAGCAAUCCAGCAUGUGUUUAUCCAUGCAGGACUACUAAUUAUUAUUGUGCUUCAC